Molecule: transfer RNA, 72 nt
Organism: Blastocystis sp.
Lineage: Eukaryota; Bigyra; Opalinata; Blastocystidae
Rfam family: tRNA
About the family: Transfer RNA (tRNA) molecules are approximately 80 nucleotides in length.
Source: Rfam
GAGGGCAUGGCGCAAUGGUAGCGCGUUUGAUUCCAGAUCAAAAGGUUGGGUGUUCGACUCACCCUGUCCUCA